RNAcentral lists this ribosomal RNA (424 nucleotides) under Verrucomicrobiota bacterium. RNAcentral's name for it is "Verrucomicrobia bacterium partial 16S ribosomal RNA". It matches the Rfam family "Bacterial small subunit ribosomal RNA", at positions 355 to 776 of the family's 1533-position model. The record is from RNAcentral. Lineage: Bacteria; Pseudomonadati; Verrucomicrobiota.
UGAGGAAUAUUGGUCAAUGGACGCAAGUCUGAACCAGCCAAGUAGCGUGCAGGAUGACGGCCCUAUGGGUUGUAAACUGCUUUUAUAUGGGGAUAAAGUGGGGAACGUGUUCCCUUUUGCAGGUACCUUAUGAAUAAGGACCGGCUAAUUCCGUGCCAGCAGCCGCGGUAAUACGGUAGGUUCGGGCGUUAUCCGGAUUUAUUGGGUUUAAAGGGAGCGUAGGCCGUCUGGUAAGCGUGUUGUGAAAUGUAGGAGCUCAAAUUCUAGAUUGCCGCGCGGACUGUCAGACUUGAGUGCGCACAACGUAGGCGGAAUUCAUGGUGUAGCGGUGAAAUGCUUAGAUAUCAUGAAGAACUCCGAUUGCGAAGGCAGCUUACGGGGGCGCAACUGACGCUGAAGGUCGAAGGUGCGGGUAUCGAACAGG